Molecule: ribosomal RNA, 230 nt
Filed under: uncultured bacterium
Lineage: Bacteria
Description: partial 16S ribosomal RNA
Rfam family: Bacterial small subunit ribosomal RNA
Source: RNAcentral
AAAGCGUGCGCAGGCGGUUAUAUAAGACAGAUGUGAAAUCCCCGGGCUCAACCUGGGAACUGCAUUUGUGACUGUAUAGCUGGAGUGCGGCAGAGGGGGAUGAAAUUCCGCGUGUAGCAGUGAAAUGCGUAGAUAUGCGGAGGAACACCGAUGGCGAAGGCAAUCCCCUGGGCCUGCACUGACGCUCAUGCACGAAAGCGUGGGGAGCAAACAGGAUUAGAUACCCCUGU